GACGAACGCUGGCGGCGUGCUUAACACAUGCAAGUCGAACGAUGAACCAGGAGCUUGCUCUUGGGGAUUAGUGGCGAACGGGUGAGUAACACGUGAGUAACCUGCCCUUGACUCUGGGAUAACCUCCGGAAACGGAAGCUAAUACCGGAUACGAACUGCGAAGGCAUCUUCAGCAGUUGGAAAGAACUUCGGUCAAGGAUGGACUCGCGGCCUAUCAGGUAGUUGGUGAGGUAAAGGCUCACCAAGCCUACGACGGGUAGCCGGCCUGAGAGGGUGACCGGCCACACUGGGACUGAGACACGGCCCAGACUCCUACGGGAGGCAGCAGUGGGGAAUAUUGCACAAUGGGCGCAAGCCUGAUGCAGCAACGCCGCGUGAGGGAUGACGGCCUUCGGGUUGUAAACCUCUUUUAGUAGGGAAGAAGCGAAAGUGACG
Molecule: ribosomal RNA, 435 nt
Filed under: Leifsonia sp. S717-51
Lineage: Bacteria; Bacillati; Actinomycetota; Actinomycetes; Micrococcales; Microbacteriaceae
Description: bacterial SSU rRNA
Rfam family: Bacterial small subunit ribosomal RNA
Source: RNAcentral